UACGUAGGCGGAAAAUUAAGUCAGUAGUGAAAUCCUGCAGCUUAACUGUAGAACUGUUAUUGAUACUGGUUUUCUUGAAUAUAGUUGAGGUAGGCGGAAUGUGUAAUGUAGCGGUGAAAUGCUUAGAUAUUACACAGAACACCGAUUGCGAAGGCAGCUUACUAAGCUAUGAUUGACGCUGGGGUACGAAAGCGUGGGGAGCGAACAGGAUUAGAUACCCUGGUAGUC
RNAcentral lists this ribosomal RNA (228 nucleotides) under uncultured bacterium. Its description in RNAcentral is "partial 16S ribosomal RNA". It matches the Rfam family "Bacterial small subunit ribosomal RNA", at positions 568 to 795 of the family's 1533-position model. The record is from RNAcentral.